GACGAACGCUGGCGGCGUGCUUAACACAUGCAAGUCGAACGGAAAGGCCCUGCUUUUGUGGGGUGCUCGAGUGGCGAACGGGUGCGUAACACGUGAGUAACCUGCCCUUGACUUUGGGAUAACUUCAGGAAACUGGGGCUAAUACCGGAUAGGAGCUCCUGCUGCAUGGUGGGGGUUGGAAAGUUUCGGCGGUUGGGGAUGGACUCGCGGCUUAUCAGCUUGCUGGUGGGGUAGUGGCUUACCAAGGCUUUGACGGGUAGCCGGCCUGAGAGGGUGGCCGGCCACAUUGGGACUGAGAUAGGGCCCAGACUCGUACGGGAGGCAGCAGUGGGAAAUAUUGCACAAUGGGCGGAAGCCUGAUGAAGAAACGCCGCGGGCGGGAUGACGGCCUUCGGGUUGUAAACCGCUUUCGCCUGUGACGAAGCGUGAGUGACGGUAAUGGGUAAAGAAGCACCGGCUAACUACGUG
RNAcentral lists this ribosomal RNA (468 nucleotides) under uncultured bacterium. Its description in RNAcentral is "partial 16S ribosomal RNA". It matches the Rfam family "Bacterial small subunit ribosomal RNA", at positions 28 to 507 of the family's 1533-position model. The record is from RNAcentral.